GUCUUUUUGAAAAUAAUUUAAAGUCAAAUCUGCCCACUGAAUUUAUUUAAAGGGCUGCAGUAUAUUGACUGUACAAAGGUAGCAUAAUCAUUAGUCUUUUAAUUGAAGACUUGUAUGAAUGAUUUGAUGAGAUAUAAACUGUCUCUUUAUUAAAAAUAGAAUUUAAUUUUUUAGUUAAAAAGCUAAAAUUAUUAUAAAAGACGAGAAGACCCUAUAGAGUUUAAUAUUUUUAGAAAAUUAAAUUUUAUAUAAAUUUUUAGAUUUAAUUUUCUAGACAUAUUUUGUUGGGGUGAUAGAAAAAUUUAAGAAACUUUUUUUAAAAAAUUAACAUUAAUUUAUGAAUUUUUGAUCCAUAAUUUAUGAUUAUAAGAAUAAAUUACCUUAGGGAUAACAGCGUAAUUUUUUUUUUUAGUUCAAAUAAAAAUUAAAGUUUGCGACCUCGAUGUUGGAUUAAGAUAAAAUUUAAAUGCAAAAGUUUAAAAUUUUGAUCUGUUCGAUCAUUAAAAUCUUACA
Molecule: ribosomal RNA, 513 nt
Filed under: Colotis fausta
Lineage: Eukaryota; Metazoa; Arthropoda; Insecta; Lepidoptera; Pieridae
Description: partial 16S ribosomal RNA
Rfam family: Bacterial large subunit ribosomal RNA (bases 387-513)
Source: RNAcentral